UAGCAAGUAAAAUCGAUCGAUCACUGUUCGUCUUGCUUCGUUAACGGGAAUAAGUCUCUAAACCAGCGGGGCCUGUGGAAGCGCAGACCCAACACACACCUUUCUCUUCCACAGAGCUGAGCUCUCAGAAAUAAGCUACAUCCUUUCAUGCAAUGGAGGAAAUUAAUGUCGACUCUGCAAACAAGACGUCUAUUAAAAACACACAGGUCCAAGGAGAUGCAAGAGAAGCAUUUAUUUAGUUGUUAUUCUCUCGUUGGGGCUGCUGGCUGGACUUCUCACUCUUGCUUUCUACUGGAGUAACAAACUUUCUUCUAUGACUGAGGAGAGAGACCUGCUGAAGGCCAACCUCACUGAGAUGACCAACGAGCUGGAGAGGCUGCAGAGUUUGUUCAACCAGAAGACAACAUGUCCUGCAGGAUGGAGAAAGUUCAGUUGUAGCUGUUAUCUCCUGUCUGAAAGAUCUGGUUCCUGGCAUUCAGCUAGAAAAAACUGCACAGACCAAGGAGCAGAUUUGGUGGUCAUAGAUAGCCCUAAAGAACAGAACUUCAUCGUUUCAAUUACCCAGUAUAACACUUGGAUUGGUUUAAGUGACAUAGAACAAGAGGAACGUG
This is a long non-coding RNA of Oreochromis aureus, 611 nucleotides long. RefSeq lists it as uncharacterized. NCBI's taxonomy places the organism in Eukaryota, Metazoa, Chordata, Actinopteri, Cichliformes, Cichlidae. The transcript has 5 exons. The record is from RefSeq and is a predicted model, not a curated record.